GGAGCCUGUUGUGUCCAAGCGCAGGAAAGAAUUCCAGUGCGGUUAUGGUUGGAGCUCAGCAAGGGAAGGAAUAGUGGUAAUAAGCUUGACCAUCUGUCUUCCUACUUUUGCUUCGGUAGAAUCAUGGACUAAGUACCUAGGGGUGAAACAGCACAUGUCAUCAAAGAUUCAGCUUUCAGAAGUCAUCUCGGAUCUGUGUGUUUGCUGACCCCCCACACCGUGACAGGCAAGACAGAAUACAGCAAGAAAGCUUUUUUUUUUCUCCAGAUGAACUGAAACAGAAAAUUGUCCUUGCCCUGAAAGCUUGGAGGUGGAGUCACUUGGGAGUAAGCGACAAAAAGGAAUCACGCAGAAAGUCGUUUCAAUUACUUAAGGGUCCUCCAGGGUGCAUCUUCCCUGAAUGAGCACUCCACAAUCCCAAACUUUCCUGGGUCACCAGCUCUUUUAAGACCUACCCAUUUAUCUGAAGUCAAUGUGAAGAGGUGGUGUCCACGGAACUGGACGAGACGCCUGUGUUGGUAAGAAUUGGCCUG
Molecule: long non-coding RNA, 533 nt
Organism: Hipposideros armiger (great roundleaf bat)
Lineage: Eukaryota; Metazoa; Chordata; Mammalia; Chiroptera; Hipposideridae
Exons: 4
Source: RefSeq, a predicted model, not a curated record